GAUGAAGAACGUAGCGAAAUGCGAUAAGUAGUGUGAAUUGCAGAAUUCAGUGAAUCAUCGAAUCUUUGAACGCACAUUGCGGCCAUAGGUAUUCCUUUGGCCAUGCCUGUUCGAGCGUCAUUUACACCCUCAAGCCUAGCUUGGUGUUGGGCGUCUGUCCCGCCGUUCUCGCGCGCGGACUCGCCUCAAAGUCAUUGGCGGCGGUCGUGCCGGCCCCCUCGCGCAGCACAUUUGCGCUUCUCGGAGGCCCGGCGGAUCCGCGCUCCAGCAAGACCUUUCACGACUUGACCUCGGAUCAGGUAGGGAUACCCGCUGAACUUAAGCAUAUCAAUAAGCGGAGGU
This 342-nucleotide unclassified non-coding RNA is filed under the name soil metagenome. RNAcentral's name for it is "partial contains 5.8S ribosomal RNA, internal transcribed spacer 2, and large subunit ribosomal RNA". The stretch from base 1 to 120 matches the Rfam family "5.8S ribosomal RNA", at positions 35 to 154 of the family's 154-position model. The record is from RNAcentral.